Molecule: ribosomal RNA, 230 nt
Filed under: uncultured Pseudomonadota bacterium
Lineage: Bacteria; Pseudomonadati; Pseudomonadota
Description: uncultured proteobacterium partial 16S ribosomal RNA
Rfam family: Bacterial small subunit ribosomal RNA
Source: RNAcentral
UUGGGUUAAGUGCGUGCAGGCGGUCGAGUAAGUCAGAUGUGAAGCCUUCCGCUCAACGGAAGAAGUGCAUUUGAGACUGCUCGGCUAGAGUACGGGAGAGGAGAGUGGAAUUCCCGGUGUAGAGGUGAAAUUCGUAGAUAUCGGGAGGAACACCAGUGGCGAAGGCGGCUCUCUGGGUCCCGAUACUGACGCUGAGACGCGAAAGCGUGGGGAGCAAACAGGAUUAGAUA